This 232-nucleotide unclassified non-coding RNA is filed under the name Hevea brasiliensis (rubber tree). Lineage: Eukaryota; Viridiplantae; Streptophyta; Magnoliopsida; Malpighiales; Euphorbiaceae. The record is from RNAcentral.
AAAUACAGCAAACUGAAAACAAAACUUUUUAUAAAAUGACAACUGAAUCAAAUCAAUUAAAUCAAAAAAUCAAAUUAAAGUGGUUGGAUUCAUUUUAACUGAAUUAUGCUCAGCUUUAACUUUAUUCAAAAAAGGUUUAGCAAGCCUAUGCUUGCUAAGCCACUUUCAGAUAGCAACAUAGUGGUAACUUCCAAUUGGGAUUGGGAAUAGGCACGCUUCGUCUGCUAGCCAG